This is a non-coding RNA of Danio rerio (zebrafish), 973 nucleotides long. The record is from RefSeq and is a predicted model, not a curated record. Lineage: Eukaryota; Metazoa; Chordata; Actinopteri; Cypriniformes; Danionidae.
GCGUGUGUGGUUCAAACUUCCGCAAACUCUGUUUUCGGUCGGUCGGUCAGUCAGUGAUCAUCAUGUCCAACAAUAAUGCUAGCAGCAGCAGUGUGGCCGCGGCGCAGAAAGCCGUCAAACAGCUCAGACAUGAGGCCGACAUGGAUCGAAUGAAAGUGUCUCAGGCUGCCAAAGACCUGAUUAACUUCUGUGUGCAAAAUGCCAUUAAAGACCCUCUGCUGGCGACCAUCUCUCCCAAGGAUAACCCCUUCCGGCCGCCCAAGUCCUGUGGCCUCCUCUGAGCCGGCCAAGGUUAUAAAAAAAAAAACACCCUUCUGUGCUUGAUACAUUUUUGUUUAAGGAGCUGGUGAAGCUGUCUUCAUCUUUACUCUACAUUAAAGCCUCUGGAGCACUACACACUAGAGAGCAUAGCAUUUUCUCUCACACACACACACUAAUUUCAUUUCUUAUUGCUGUUUAGUUGUAUUAUGAGUAAUAAUACGUUGUCUAUAUGCUGAAUUUACACUGUUCACUCGGUACGAUCUGUUACUGUUAAAAUUUCUGAAAACCCAUAACAAACACACACACACACACACACCGUGUUACUCAUGUUCAAGGAUCAAACACUAUUUUAUGAGUCUUUUAUAAAGCAGAAACUAAUUGAAGAUUGUAUGAAGUUUUCCUGGUUUAUAUGGAAGAAUUUAGAAGCGUAGAGUUACCAUUCGUCCUGUCUAAAAUAUACUUUUACUAAUUUAUGGCCAUGUUUGGUGUGAAGGUCAUGUUUUGUGUUGAGGUCAGAGCUCGUUUUGGAUGCUGUUUCUCAUUAAUGAUCAUCUGAUGAGCUGAAUCAGGUGUUUAAUGAGGGAGACUGACAAAAUGUGCUAGGUUUUUUUAUUUUUGGGAAAACCUGAAUGGAUGUUACAUUUAAAAAUAUAUCUCUUUUCAAUGUCUUUUUACUACACUGACUAUUAAAAUAAAAUGUUAUUAAUCAUUA